Molecule: long non-coding RNA, 163 nt
Organism: Cercocebus atys (sooty mangabey)
Lineage: Eukaryota; Metazoa; Chordata; Mammalia; Primates; Cercopithecidae
Exons: 2
Source: RefSeq, a predicted model, not a curated record
CCACUCGAUGGUUUCUCUAUAUGAUCUAUUCUAUUGCUUGCAUGAAACACACUAAACAAAUUAUCAAAUUAAGCCUUUGUACAUGCCAUUUUUUCCUGCCUCUCUUUAGCAAAUUAUGCCAUCUUCUGUAACUUUAAAAUAUUGGUCAAACUUUUUUAAAAAA